CAAUAGCGUAUAUUAAAGUUGUUGCAGUUAAAAAGCUCGUAGUUGGAUUUCUGGUGGGAGCGAUCGGUCUGGCGCUUAGCGCGAGUACUUGCAUCGUCUCCGGCCAUCCUUGGGGAGAGUCUGUCUGGCAUUAAGUUGUCGGGCAGAGGAUCCUCAUCGUUUACUGUGAAAAAAUUAGAGUGUUCAAAGCAGGCUUAUGCCGUUGAAUAUAUUAGCAUGGAAUAAUAAGAUAGGACUUUGGUACUAUUUUGUUGGUUUGCGCACCAAAGUAAUGAUUAAUAGGGACAGUUGGGGGUAUUCGUAUUCCGUUGUCAGAGGUGAAAUUCUUGGAUUUACGGAAGACGAACUACUGCGAAAGCAUUUACCAAGGAUGGUUUCAUUAA
This 383-nucleotide ribosomal RNA is filed under the name uncultured eukaryote. RNAcentral's name for it is "partial 18S ribosomal RNA". It matches the Rfam family "Eukaryotic small subunit ribosomal RNA", at positions 592 to 976 of the family's 1831-position model. The record is from RNAcentral.